RNAcentral lists this non-coding RNA (22 nucleotides) under Arabidopsis thaliana (thale cress). The record is from RNAcentral. Lineage: Eukaryota; Viridiplantae; Streptophyta; Magnoliopsida; Brassicales; Brassicaceae.
UAAAUAUGAGCCUCUCCACCUA